RNAcentral lists this ribosomal RNA (806 nucleotides) under uncultured Pseudomonadota bacterium. RNAcentral's name for it is "bacterial SSU rRNA". It matches the Rfam family "Bacterial small subunit ribosomal RNA", at positions 73 to 896 of the family's 1533-position model. Lineage: Bacteria; Pseudomonadati; Pseudomonadota. The record is from RNAcentral.
GUCCCCGCAAGGGGAUGAGUAAAGUGGCGACCGGGUGAGUAACACGUGACUAACCUACCUUCGAGUGGGGAAUAACCUCGGGAAACCGGGGCUAAUACCGCAUAACAUCGCAGCCGUAAGGGCGGCGAUCAAGGCAGCAAUGCGCUUGAAGAGGGGGUCGCGGCUGAUUAGCUAGUUGGUGAGGUAAUGGCUCACCAAGGCAGUGAUCAGUAUCCGGCCUGAGAGGGCGCACGGACACACUGGAACUGAAACACGGUCCAGACUCCUACGGGAGGCAGCAGUGGGGAAUUUUGCGCAAUGGGGGAAACCCUGACGCAGCAACGCCGCGUGGAGGAUGAAGUCCCUUGGGACGUAAACUCCUUUCGAACGGGACGAUUAUGACGGUACCGUAUGAAGAAGCCCCGGCUAACUUCGUGCCAGCAGCCGCGGUAAUACGAGGGGGGCAAGCGUUGUUCGGAAUUAUUGGGCGUAAAGGGCGCGUAGGCGGCGCGGUAUGUCUCUUGUGAAAUCUCCAGGCUCAACUUGGAGUCUGCAAGGGAAACUGCCGUGCUUGAGUACUGGAGAGGUGAGUGGAAUUCCCGGUGUAGCGGUGAAAUGCAUAGAUAUCGGGAGGAACACCUGUGGCGAAAGCGGCUCACUGGACAGUAACUGACGCUGAUGCGCGAAAGCUAGGGGAGCAAACAGGAUUAGAUACCCUGGUAGUCCUAGCCCUAAACGAUGGAUGCUUGGUGUGAUCGGUACCCAAUCCGAUCGUGCCGGAGCUAACGCGUUAAGCAUCCCGCCUGGGGAGUACGGUCGCAAGGCUG